This 253-nucleotide ribosomal RNA is filed under the name uncultured bacterium. Its description in RNAcentral is "partial 16S ribosomal RNA". It matches the Rfam family "Bacterial small subunit ribosomal RNA", at positions 524 to 776 of the family's 1533-position model. The record is from RNAcentral.
UACGAAGGGUGCAAGCGUUACUCGGAAUUACUGGGCGUAAAGCGUGCGUAGGUGGUUGGUUAAGUCUGAUGUGAAAGCCCUGGGCUCAACCUGGGAAUGGCAUUGGAUACUGGCGACCUAGAGUGCGGUAGAGGGGUGUGGAAUUCCCGGUGUAGCAGUGAAAUGCGUAGAUAUCGGGAGGAACAUCUGUGGCGAAGGCGACACCCUGGACCAGCACUGACACUGAGGCACGAAAGCGUGGGGAGCAAACAGG